CUCCGUCGACCGCUCACCGUCCGUGUCGAGCGGUCGCCUCGGUUGGGGUUAGAUUACUGGCAGCUGAUUGGCCGCACGUCCAUUAACCUGCCCUUGACUCUGGGAUAAGCCGGGGAAACCGGGUCUAAUACUGGAUACAACCUUCUGGCGCAUGCCAUGUUGGUGGAAAGCUUUUGUGGUUUUGGAUGGACUCGCGGCCUAUCAGCUUGUUGGUGGGGUAAUGGCCUACCAAGGCGACGACGGGUAGCCGGCCUGAGAGGGUGACCGGCCACACUGGGACUGAGACACGGCCCACACUCCUACGGGAGGCAGCAGUGGGGAAUAUUGCACAAUGGGCGCAAGCCUGAUGCAGCGACGCCGCGUGAGGGAUGAAGGCCUUCGGGUUGUAAACCUCUUUCAGUAGGGAAGAAGUUGGCCUUUCGGGGUUGGUGACGGUACCUGCAGAAGAAGCGCCGGCUAACUACGUGCCAGCAGCCGCGGUAAUACGUAGGGCGCAAGCGUUAUCCGGAAUUAUUGGGCGUAAAGAGCUCGUACGCGGUUUGUCGCGUCUGCCGUGAAAGUCCGGGGCUUAACUCCGGAUCUGCGGUGGGUACGGGCAGACUAGAGUGCAGUAGGGGAGACUGGAAUUCCUGGUGUAGCGGUGAAAUGCGCACAUAUCAUGAGGAACACCAAUGGCGAAGGCAGGUCUCUGGGCUGUAACUGACGCUGAGGAGCGAAAGCAUGGGGAGCGAACAGGAUUAGAUACCCUGGUAGUCCAUGCCGUAAACGUUGGGCACUACGUGUGGGGGACAUUCCACGUUUUCCGCGCCGUAGCUAACGCAUUAAGUGCCCCGCCUGGGGAGUACGGCCGCAAGGCUAAACUCAAAGGAAUUGACGGGGGCCCGCACAGCUGCCGACCUGCGGAUUAUUCCAUGCACGCGCAGACCUUACCAGGCUUGACAUGAACCGAAUGAUGCAGAAUGUGUCAGCACUUGUGACGGUUUACAAGUGCGCAUGGUUGUCGUCAGCUCGCGUCGUGAGAUGUAGGUUAAGUCCGCUACGAGCGCCACCGCUCGUUCAUGUUGCCUCGAGGUUAGGCAGGAACUCAUGCAG
This 1092-nucleotide ribosomal RNA is filed under the name Arthrobacter sp. ljh-21. RNAcentral describes it as "bacterial SSU rRNA". It matches the Rfam family "Bacterial small subunit ribosomal RNA", at positions 36 to 1146 of the family's 1533-position model. The record is from RNAcentral. Lineage: Bacteria; Bacillati; Actinomycetota; Actinomycetes; Micrococcales; Micrococcaceae.